UACGUAGGGUGCAGGCGUUAAUCGGAAUUACUGGGCGUAAAGCGUGCGCAGGCGGUUUCUUAAGUCAGAUGUGAAAGCCCCGGGCUUAACCUGGGAACUGCGUUUGAAACUGGGAGACUUGAGUGUGGCAGAGGGGGGUGGAAUUCCACGUGUAGCAGUGAAACGCGUAGAUAUGUGGAGGAACACCGAUGGCGAAGGCAGCCCCCUGGGUUAACACUGACGCUCAUGCACGAAAGCGUGGGGAGCAAACAGG
This 253-nucleotide ribosomal RNA is filed under the name uncultured bacterium. RNAcentral's name for it is "partial 16S ribosomal RNA". It matches the Rfam family "Bacterial small subunit ribosomal RNA", at positions 524 to 776 of the family's 1533-position model. The record is from RNAcentral.